GUCACGCGACAGGGGCGUCCGGGCGACCGGGCUGAGAAGCACCCUUUGAACCUGAACCAGAUCAUGCUGGCGUAGGGAGUCCGCGGCGGGCGCAGG
This 96-nucleotide non-coding RNA is filed under the name Phaeovulum vinaykumarii. Its description in RNAcentral is "Rhodobacter vinaykumarii TPP sequence". It matches the Rfam family "TPP riboswitch aptamer (THI element)". Rfam says of the family: Vitamin B(1) in its active form thiamin pyrophosphate (TPP) is an essential coenzyme that is synthesised by coupling of pyrimidine and thiazole moieties in bacteria. The previously detected thiamin-regulatory element, thi box was extended, resulting in a new, highly conserved RNA secondary structure, the THI element, which is widely distributed in eubacteria and also occurs in some archaea. The record is from Rfam by way of RNAcentral. Lineage: Bacteria; Pseudomonadati; Pseudomonadota; Alphaproteobacteria; Rhodobacterales; Paracoccaceae.